This 405-nucleotide ribosomal RNA is filed under the name uncultured bacterium. RNAcentral's name for it is "partial 16S ribosomal RNA". It matches the Rfam family "Bacterial small subunit ribosomal RNA", at positions 28 to 526 of the family's 1533-position model. The record is from RNAcentral.
GACGAACGCUGGCGGCGUGCUUAACACAUGCAAGUCGAGCGGAGCGGCGAACGGGUGAGUAACGCGUGAGUAACUGCCCCCCUCUCUGGGAUAACAGUUUGAAACGGCUGCUACUACCGGAUAGUGGGGGAUGACUCGCGUCUUAUCCGCUUGUUGGUGGGGUAGUGGCCUACCAAGGGGACGACGGUUAGCCGGCCUGCGAGGGCGACCGGCCACAUUGGGCUGAGAGACGGCCCAAACUCCGACGGGAGGCAGGAGUGGCGAAUAUUGCACAAGGGGGGAAACCCUGAGGCAGCAACGCCGCGGGCGGGAUGACGGGCUUCGGGUUGUAAACCGCUUUCAGCCAUGACGCGGUAGUGGCAGAAGAAGCACCGGCUAACUACGUGCCAGCCGCAGCGGUAAGAC